CCUCGACUCGGUCAUGAAAAGCUUCGAGGAAGAGAUAGCAGCCGCAACCACUUCUUGCCAGUCGUCGCCGCGUCCGGCAUCGGAGACUCUGCUGGCUCCGGUGCCGGUGGUUGAUCUGACGUCGGAAUCUGGCGAGUCCAAACCCGACCUUGGCUACCUUCUAGAAGCUUCGGACGACGAGCUGGGCCUGCCCCCGCCGGAGAACUUCAAAGAGGAGGCGGCGAAAGGCGGGGAGAGCGAGUUGGUCCGAGUUCCGUCCGACUCGUCCGUAGCCGACGAGUUAUGGCAGUUCGACGAUCCCCCUCCGAGUACGCUUGACGGGCUGUUCGGAAACGACGAUGUGUAUUUUGACUCGGCUGAUUACGGCGAGUUUUCGUGGCGUUUCGAAACACUGCCGGCGCAGUAGAGCG
This 410-nucleotide long non-coding RNA is filed under the name Malus domestica (apple). RNAcentral's name for it is "long non-coding RNA (MDOM_LNC011774)". The record is from RNAcentral. Lineage: Eukaryota; Viridiplantae; Streptophyta; Magnoliopsida; Rosales; Rosaceae.